This 602-nucleotide unclassified non-coding RNA is filed under the name Hevea brasiliensis (rubber tree). Lineage: Eukaryota; Viridiplantae; Streptophyta; Magnoliopsida; Malpighiales; Euphorbiaceae. The record is from RNAcentral.
CCUCUCUCCUCCGCGCCGCUCAACCUCACGCCGCCGGCUGUUGGGAACUUGGGAAAACUCUAAUGGCCAUGAUUGAUGAGCCACUAUAUCCGAUUGCUAUCUUAAUAGAUGAGCUGAAAAAUGAAGAUAUUCAGUUGCGAUUGAAUUCCAUUCGCAGACUUUCUACCAUUGCUCGGGCCCUUGGUGAAGAGAGAACCAGAAAGGAAUUGAUUCCGUUUCUCAGUGAAAAUAAUGAUGAUGAUGAUGAGGUACUUCUUGCAAUGGCAGAAGAGUUGGGGGUAUUUAUUCCAUAUGUUGGUGGAGUGGAACAUGCUCAUGUGUUGCUUCCACCUUUGGAAACACUAUGCACUGUAGAGGAGACUUGUGUUAGGGACAAAGCCGUAGAAUCAUUGUGUCGAAUUGGAUCUCAGAUGAAGGAAAGUGAUAUAGUGGAUUGGUUUAUCCCCUUAGUAAAAAGGCUAGCAGCUGGUGAGUGGUUCACAGCACGAGUUUCAUCAUGUGGCCUGUUUCAUAUUGCCUAUCCAAGUGCAUCAGAGCUUUUGAAAGCAGAACUAAGGUCAGUAUAUGGUCAAUUGUGCCAAGAUGACAUGCCUAUGGUGAGA